GAUUAACGCUGGCGGCGUGCCUAAUACAUGCAAGUCGAACGGAGAAUUAGCAAUAGUUCUUAGUGGCGAAUGGGUGAGUAACGCGUUGGUGACCUGCCCCAAAGUGAGGGAUAACAGUUCGAAAGGACUGCUAAUACCACAUGUGGUUAGUGGAUUUAGAAACUGCUAACUAAAGGAGUAAUUCGCUUUGGGAGGGGCCUGCGUCCCAUCAGCUAGUUGGUAGGGUAAUGGCCUACCAAGGCGAUGACGGGUAGGGGACCUGAGAGGGUGGCCCCCCACAAUGGAACUGAAACACGGGUCCAUACUCCUACGGGAGGCAG
Molecule: ribosomal RNA, 320 nt
Filed under: uncultured Chloroflexota bacterium
Lineage: Bacteria; Bacillati; Chloroflexota
Description: bacterial SSU rRNA
Rfam family: Bacterial small subunit ribosomal RNA
Source: RNAcentral